Molecule: unclassified non-coding RNA, 246 nt
Filed under: uncultured Lasiosphaeriaceae
Lineage: Eukaryota; Fungi; Ascomycota; Sordariomycetes; Sordariales; Lasiosphaeriaceae
Description: sequence contains ITS2
Source: RNAcentral
AACGCACAUUGCGCCCGCUAGUAUUCUGGCGGGCAUGCCUGUUCGAGCGUCAUUUCAACCAUCAAGCCCUCAGGCUUGCGUUGGAGCCCUGCGGCUGCCGCAGGCUCCCAAACCCAGUGGCGGGCUCGUCGUCGUACCGAGUGCAGUAAAUUUACCACGCUCAGGGCACGCGACGGGUGACCGGCCGUAAAACCCCCCCUUCUCAAGGUUGACCUCGGAUCAGGUAGGAAUACCCGCUGAACUUAA